Aptenodytes forsteri (emperor penguin) is the source of this 3348-nucleotide long non-coding RNA. RefSeq lists it as uncharacterized. The record is from RefSeq and is a predicted model, not a curated record. The transcript has 3 exons. NCBI's taxonomy places the organism in Eukaryota, Metazoa, Chordata, Aves, Sphenisciformes, Spheniscidae.
AGCAAUAUAAUAUAACUUGGUGACUUUCUAUGUAAUCUUAUACUGUGGGUAUUCUGACAUCACACUUCUGACUGUGGAAUUACAGUGCAGCACUCUUCAUACCUGUAUGUUAAGCUUGCAUCAAAGCUGCGUGGUUUUCGGUUUUAAGCUUUGUCUUGUUCAGAGUCAAUAAGCAACUUACUGUGAUUCUUAGAUAAGUAUUUUCAGACCCGAUUCCUUUGUACAUGUGACUCGGCUUGUGUGGAUUUUUCUUAGUUCUGAUGUAACGAAGAUAUUCUUAGAACGAGCUCUGUGGGGAAGAGGGAAUGUGAUCUUACACUCACUUAACUAGUCAACUAGGUGCUGUCAGUGCCUAGAAAAGGACUGUUUAAACUUUCUGUAGUGACAAAGUGGCCCAUCUGCAGCACAUCCCUCUGUAGAGUCUUGGUUCAGUAGGAAAUGCGUUAGUAAUCACUGCUCUAGCCUUGUGUGCGCUACGUGAUAGUCACUUAAAGCUUGCUAAUACAGUCAACUUUGAGACUGAUGUGGAAUAUUUUUGAGGACAUACAAAUGAGUGCUUGAAUGAAUCCCUGUGGGUAGUUUCAUAGAGCUUAUUGGACAUUUCAGUUGUCUUUAUUUUAAUCUUUGAUAAGUGUAAUACAUUCCUCUGCCUUUAAUUGACAGUGAUGAGAUUCUGUAUUUCUGCCUCGUAGAGUCAUCUUGGUAGUAUAAUGCUCAAUUUCAUUUUUCAUCAGUCUUGGGGAUGUAAUUCUAAAUUCUUCGUUACUAGAAAUACUGAAUGUAGUGUUUCAGGAUUAACAUGCUUACACUUCCAGACAUCCAGACAUGCUGUUCUCCAAUUCUUUUGCAUUAGCUCUUGAACCUGAAUUUCAAGGUCCCUUGUUUCAGCACAUGACCUAGCUCUUGUCUGAUGUUCAGUUCAUUUCAGAGGUGUUGUAACGUGUUUUCCCGCUUGUUCUGCAAAGUUCUGCUUUGCACACUUGUUUCUGGUAUUAUUGUCACAUUUGGACCCUUCUGUGUUAUCUUCCAGGCGAGACUCUUGCUGGUGAACAGGGGAUCUGCUGGACAGCCUUGCCCUCUGCUGUAGCUAUCUUUUCAUGUUCCAUUGAAAGCUUGAAGUAGCAGCUACACCUUAAGAUCAUAAUAACAGGUCUUUGGUUACACCACAGUGAGUGUAACCGAACUCCAGCUAGUCAAGCAGUGACACCACUUGUCACAAAGUCAGUUUGGCUUUUCGUGAUGCCUUACUCUUACCUGUGACUAGAAUUCGAUAGCAAAACUGAUGGCAGUAUGCGUACUGUCGUGUAGCAAAACUGAAUUAUUAAUCUCUAAACCAGUGCUCAGAUCCAACUAGUUUUUCCAGUGUGCUCUGGAUACUUGACCUGCAGGGAUGUCGUGGAGGGGUUACUGGCACAUCUGCCUCAUUCUAUGUACUUGAACUAGCAGGUUUUUUACAUUCUUGGAGCAAGCAAUUUGUGACUGAACCAUGGGUCUCAUACCAGCUCUGACUGUCUGCAGUAAUGAAACUUGGUGUGGUAGCUAACUUAAAAGCAAAUAGUCAUGUCUGCUCUAAGUCAGUCUGUAACAAGUGGGUACAAGAAAUGACAUUAAAGUGCUUGCAUUGUGUUUCAUCUUGGUUUUAUCUGUGUGUGAAAUACACUUUUUCUCAAAAGCUUAUCUGAAGCUCAGAAGUGUGGUGUCAGAAUACAUAUGCGUACCUGCUAGGCCCUCAGAUCCAGAUACUGGUGCUGUCAGGAGAGAGCACAGCAUAGUGUGUAUGGGGGCUUUACUGUAACAUUAAGCAUACAAAGUGUUGAUUUGCUUGCAGUUUUCCCCAUAGCUAAACACUGAGGCCUGUGAGUAGUUUUAGGACUUGAGCAGUAAUGGGGUUGCAUGUCUCUGUUAAUCAUUGCCAGCUGCAGUGACAUGAUCAGGAAGGCCAGUGUUUUGUUCCAUUAUGUUAAAUGAGGCUAAGCAUGUUGGAAAGGAUGCAUAAAAAGUAUGCUGUUCUGGGUAAUUACUUGGCUUCUUCCACUAUUAGCAAGUUUGGAAUCGGCUAAUUAGCUUCAGAUUUUUUUUCUCUCCAUACCAGCUAGUGGGGCUCUUUAAAUAGCUGCUUACUGGAAAAGGAAAAAAAGGGAGGAUUGGCCUUCUCCCACCUCUGUCAUUGCUGCUAGAUAAUGAUUGACACGUUAGGACUUGGCUGUGCAAUCCCGCAGUGGUCUGUGAAUACCCCAUCUCUAUAAAUGUUGCUUCUGAACACCAGUACUGAAGAGCUAACUGGGGAGGGUUGGGAGGAGUGUGGCUAUAAGUGAAUCUGGAGUGUUAAAAGGAUGCACAAAGAUAUAGUAUCCCUUAUGCAUGGUGUUUGUUGCUAUGGCAUAGAAAACAAAACGUGCAUACUACACUUCUGCUCCUGAGGGCCAUGAUAAAACCCGGGUGGUGGGUUUGAGACUAAACUUGAACUUUGCCCUGCCUGGUCAGAUCACAUUGUGACCAUGGUGUGAUUUGCCUCCCAACUAGAGGUGUGCACAGAACCUUGUACUACUACAUCCCCAGCUGCUGACCAUUGCAGUUUGCCCUCAACUUUGCUAUAUAGCAAAAGGGUGGGUCUUCAGAAGGGAAGAAUCUGUUGCCGAGAAUAAAAGCAGUAGACUGACAGUGCUAACCUCUAGUGUCUUCCUUUGGCUUUUGAAGCACUUCUAGGACUAUCGAACCUGAGGGCUGCUAGGAGUCAGGGACGUUGCACUCCUUCAUGAAGGGGAAGAGAGAGGGCGUUACUACAGGAGACAAACUAGGGUAAAAUAGUUGAAGUAGCUUGACAAAAUUGUUAAUGCCUUCACAUAAGGGAUAGUAUACCUCUGGCUGCAAUCAAACUUCAUUGUACUCAGACUGGUGAUUUACGGUUUGUGCUCAGACAAGGUGCAGUUCUUGAGUCAACUACCUGCAUAUUCCUUCAUCUCUUUACAAGUGUUCAGGCUAGCCUAUUUCUGCCCCUUAUUCUUCCACUUAAUAUUUUGGAAUAAUUUGUAAAUUUCCCCUCGUAACUAAUCAGUCCAUGUAUCUUAAAACCUUAUUUUUAAGUUAGUUUUGAAAUGGUCAGAAUUUUCUGUGUAUUACUAUAAUAACUUCAGUUGUUAUCCUUUAGGUGAAGAUGAAAGCUGAGUGAAACCAGAGUGCUCAUCCAUGGGAAUUCAGGAGCCGAGCAUGAGCACAUCCAGCACAAUGCCCAGUGAUCUGUGGAGGGACCGAGAUAACAAGUGAACAAAAGAAGAUGAAGUCCGAAUGCAGUGAAGACGAGCCAGGAACAUACAAUUUUUAAAAAUAAACUAUCUAUUUUUUUCUAAA